Molecule: ribosomal RNA, 253 nt
Filed under: uncultured bacterium
Lineage: Bacteria
Description: partial 16S ribosomal RNA
Rfam family: Bacterial small subunit ribosomal RNA
Source: RNAcentral
UACGGAGGGUGCAAGCAUUGAUCGGAUUGACUGGGCGUAAAGGGCGCGUAGGCGGUUUGAAAAGUCUGAUGUGAAAUUCCGGGGCUCAACCCCGGAACUGCAUUUGAAACUUUCAGACUAGAGGUUGGUAAGGGAAAACAGAAUUCCACGUGUAGCGGUGAAAUGCGUAGAUAUGUGGAAGAAUACCGGUGGUGAAGACGGUUUUCUGUGCCAAACCUGACGCUGAGGCGCGAAAGCUAGGGGAGCAAACAGG